This 255-nucleotide ribosomal RNA is filed under the name uncultured bacterium. RNAcentral's name for it is "partial 16S ribosomal RNA". It matches the Rfam family "Bacterial small subunit ribosomal RNA", at positions 524 to 777 of the family's 1533-position model. The record is from RNAcentral.
UACGUAGGGUGCAAGCGUUUGUCCGGAAUUAUUGGGCGUAAAGAGCUCGUAGGCGGUUUGUCGCGUCUGCUGUGAAAACCCGGGGCUUAACUUCGGGCUUGCGGUUGAUACGGGCGGGCUGGAGUUCGGUAGGGGAGACUGGAAUUCCUGGUGUAGCGGUGAAAUGCGCAGAUAUCAGGAGGAACACCGGUGGCGAAGGCGGGUCUCUGGGCCGAUACUGACGCUGAGGAGCGAAAGCGUGGGGAGCGAACAGGA